AGAGCGAACGCUGGCGGCAGGCCUAAUACAUGCAAGUCGAACGGAUCCUUCGGGAUUAGUGGCGGACGGGUGAGUAACACGUGGGAACGUACCCUUUGGUUCGGAACAACUCAGGGAAACUUGAGCUAAUACCGAAUGUGCCCUUCGGGGAAAAGAUUUAUCGCCAUUGGAGCGGCCCGCGUCUGAUUAGCUAGUUGGUAGGGUAAAGGCCUACCAAGGCUACGAUCAGUAGCUGGUCUGAGAGGAUGAUCAGCCACACUGGGACUGAGACACGGCCCAGACUCCUACGGGAGGCAGCAGUAGGGAAUCUUGCGCAAUGGGCGAAAGCCUGACGCAGCCAUGCCGCGUGAAUGAUGAAGGUCUUAGGAUUGUAAAAUUCUUUCAGCGGGGACGAUAAUGACGGUACCCGCAGAAGACGCCCGGCUAACUUCGCGCCAGCAGCCGC
Molecule: ribosomal RNA, 445 nt
Filed under: uncultured bacterium
Lineage: Bacteria
Description: SSU rRNA
Rfam family: Bacterial small subunit ribosomal RNA
Source: RNAcentral